CAGUCGCCGCGGUAAUACGUAGGGUGCGAGCGUUAAUCGGAAUUACUGGGCGUAAAGCAUGCGCAGGCGGUUGUGUAAGACAGGUGUGAAAUCCCCGGGCUUAACCUGGGAACUGCGCUUGUGACUGCACAGCUAGAGUAUGGCAGAGGGGGGUGGAAUUCCACGUGUAGCAGUGAAAUGCGUAGAGAUGUGGAGGAACACCGAUGGCGAAGGCAGCCCCCUGGGCCAAUACUGACGCUCAUGCACGAAAGCGUGGGGAGCAAACAGGAUUAGAUACCCCGGUAGUCCCUGUCUCUUAUAC
RNAcentral lists this ribosomal RNA (301 nucleotides) under uncultured bacterium. Its description in RNAcentral is "partial 16S ribosomal RNA". It matches the Rfam family "Bacterial small subunit ribosomal RNA", at positions 509 to 807 of the family's 1533-position model. The record is from RNAcentral.